GAAAACGUGUUUUGCGGUUUUGGCAGGAAAACGCGUUUUUGCAGUUUUAGCGAAAAAACAUAUUUUCACGGUUUUAGCGGAAAAAAACUUAUUUUUGCAGGUUUUGGCGGGAAACGCAUUUUACCACCGAAUAAAUGAUUGAACUUUUGAAAAACUCAUAAUUUUCCAAUUCUAUCAAACUUUAGAAUUGAGUGGUUUAUUAUACAUGUGACAAAUGACUUUACUUUGUGCAUUUUAUAGAUAUUUUUAUUUUAUUUUAUUUUUAUAUUUUAUACAUAAAUUAUUGGAAAUUCUCCAGAUAGACCUUAAUUUUUUUUUUAAAUCACAA
RNAcentral lists this long non-coding RNA (328 nucleotides) under Brassica rapa (field mustard). RNAcentral describes it as "long non-coding RNA (BRAP_LNC002677)". Lineage: Eukaryota; Viridiplantae; Streptophyta; Magnoliopsida; Brassicales; Brassicaceae. The record is from RNAcentral.